RNAcentral lists this ribosomal RNA (567 nucleotides) under uncultured bacterium. Its description in RNAcentral is "partial 16S ribosomal RNA". It matches the Rfam family "Bacterial small subunit ribosomal RNA", at positions 355 to 912 of the family's 1533-position model. The record is from RNAcentral.
UGGGGAAUAUUGCACAAUGGGCGCAAGCCUGAUGCAGCCAUGCCGCGUGUGUGAAGAAGGCCUUCGGGUUGUAAAGCACUUUCAGCGAGGAGGAAGGUGGUGAGCUUAAUACGCUCAUCAAUUGACGUUACUCGCAGAAGAAGCACCGGCUAACUCCGUGCCAGCAGCCGCGGUAAUACGGAGGGUGCAAGCGUUAAUCGGAAUUACUGGGCGUAAAGCGCACGCAGGCGGUUUGUUAAGUCAGAUGUGAAAUCCCCGGGCUCAACCUGGGAACUGCAUUUGAAACUGGCAAGCUAGAGUCUCGUAGAGGGGGGUAGAAUUCCAGGUGUAGCGGUGAAAUGCGUAGAGAUCUGGAGGAAUACCGGUGGCGAAGGCGGCCCCCUGGACGAAGACUGACGCUCAGGUGCGAAAGCGUGGGGCAGCAAACAGGAUUAGAUACCCUGGUAGUCCACGCUGUAAACGAUGUCGAUUUGGAGGUUGUGCCCUUGAGGCGUGGCUUCCGGAGCUAACGCGUUAAAUCGACCGCCUGGGGAGUUACGGCCGCAAGGUUAAAACUCAAAGGAAUUG